GUCCUCAGUACACGGAUGCCCCAUCCGCACUAUAAUUUUCUAUGUUCAGUGAACCAUAAAAAUGGGCGAAAUUCUCUAAUUUGUUAUUAAAAUUAGAAAGAUCAUAUCAUAGGGAACAUGUAUACUAAGUUUCAAGUUGAUUUGACUUCAAUUAUAUCAAAAACUACCUCGACCAAAAACUUUAACCUGAAGCGGGAAGAACGGACGGAUGAACGAACGGGAGGACAGACGGAAGGACGGACAGACGGACAAAUAGACAGUACCGGACGGACGGACGGACAACGGUUUACCAAAAUACGUCCCGAAAAGAUAGAUAU
RNAcentral lists this long non-coding RNA (317 nucleotides) under Mytilus galloprovincialis (Mediterranean mussel). The record is from RNAcentral. Lineage: Eukaryota; Metazoa; Mollusca; Bivalvia; Mytilida; Mytilidae.